UACAGAGGUGGCAAGCGUUGUUCGGAAUUACUGGGCGUAAAGGGCGCGUAGGCGGCCAUCUAAGUCAGACGUGAAAUCCCCCGGCUUAACCUGGGAACUGCGUCUGAUACUGGAAGGCUUGAGUAUGGGAGAGGGAUGUAGAAUUCCAGGUGUAGCGGUGAAAUGCGUAGAUAUCUGGAGGAAUACCGGUGGCGAAGGCGGCAUCCUGGACCAUUACUGACGCUGAGGCGCGAAAGCUAGGGGAGCAAACGGGAUUAGAUACCCCGGUAGUCCUAGCCCUAAACGAUGAAUACUUGGUGUGGCGGGUAUCGAUCCCUGCCGUGCCGAAGCUAACGCAUUAAGUAUUCCGCCUGGGGAGUACGGUCGCAAGGCUGAA
This 376-nucleotide ribosomal RNA is filed under the name uncultured bacterium. RNAcentral's name for it is "bacterial SSU rRNA". It matches the Rfam family "Bacterial small subunit ribosomal RNA", at positions 524 to 898 of the family's 1533-position model. The record is from RNAcentral.